CACAAGCGGAGGAGCAUGUGGUUUAAUUCGAUGAUACGCGAGGAACCUUACCUGGGCUCGAACGUAAGAUGACUGUAGGUGAAAGCUUACAUCUCUUCGGAGCAUUUUACGAGGUGCUGCAUGGUUGUCGUCAGCUCGUGCCGUGAGGUGUCGGGUUAAGUCCCAUAACGAGCGCAACCCCUACCUUUAGUUGCCAUCAGGUCAAGCUGGGGACUCUAAUGAAACUGCCUACGCAAGUAGUGAGGAAGGUGGGGAUGACGUCAAAUCAGCACGGCCCUUACGUCCAGGGCUACACACGUGCUACAAUGGCCGAUACAGAGGGCAGCUACCUGGUGACAGGAUGCAAAUCUCCAAAGUCGGUCUCAGUUCGGAUCGGAGUCUGCAACCCGACUCCGUGAAGUUGGAUUCGCUAGUAAUCGCGCAUCAGCCAUGGCGCGGUGAAUACGUUCCCGGGCCUU
RNAcentral lists this ribosomal RNA (458 nucleotides) under uncultured Sphingobacteriales bacterium. RNAcentral describes it as "bacterial SSU rRNA". It matches the Rfam family "Bacterial small subunit ribosomal RNA", at positions 924 to 1382 of the family's 1533-position model. Lineage: Bacteria; Pseudomonadati; Bacteroidota; Sphingobacteriia; Sphingobacteriales. The record is from RNAcentral.